AGCGAAAUGUACUUAUUUGCGCCUUUCUGAUUGCCGAAUGGAUAUUUCGUUGAUGAAAAGUAAAGAAGUCAGUAAUUCACUCCAUUAUCAACUUUGGUCACACCAGUCAACAGUCAAUUCCAACGUCUCUCAGUCCGACCACCUCCUUCAACUUUAAAAUGUUCGAUUAACGAAGAAGCAAGGAAUAAAUUCGGCAAUCAAAUUUGACAGCACUCAUUCGGAAUCAGUCCAAUCUUUCCAACUGAUUAUUAUUCGACAGGAGAGAGAGUGCACGCGCGCGCGAGAGAGACGAGAGAUCAGAAAAAAUGGGGCAUGGAAGUUCGAAAGAUUCGUCAUCAUCUCGGAGGGGGAAGAUGCGUCAAAAACUCCGGCGAAUUGUUCGCCGUGAAAGUCGUUCUAAGCAUUCUGCUGAUCGUUUUAAGUUGGUUUCCGCCGAUGAUUUCGCCGGAAUUGCUCUCCUUACUCUUAUCUCCGCAAAGAUGACAUUUAAGGACAAAUGGUUGGCCUCUGUUACACUUGGAGAACAGACAUUCUGCACAAACAUCACCGAGAACACAGAAGAGCCUGUUUGGAACUCGGAAAAGAAGCUUCUUUUAGAAAGCAAUGGGUCUCAUACUGCAAGAGUUUCUGUCUAUGAGACCAACUUGUUGAAGAAGAACAAUCUCAUAGGUUAUUGUGAAAUUGACCUACUUCUAUUUCUAACUCAGGAUUCAGAUUCUGAUAUAGUCGAAGUUGAUCUCUUAGAUCCAUCAGCAACUGACAUUGUUGGCAAACUGUCUUUCUCAUGUUUUGUUGAGGAUCCAGAAGAAACAGAAAAAGAUUUUGCAAGGCGUAUUUUAUCUAUUGUGGAUUAUAAUGAAGAUGGCCUGCUUUCUUUCUCGGAAUUCUCCGAUUUAAUUAAUGCAUUUGGGAAUCAAGUGGCAGCUGACAAGAAAGAAGAACUCUUCAAGUAUGCAGAUAUUAAUGGGGAUGGUGCUGUUAGCAUUGAGGAAUUGGCUGCCCUCCUUGCUCGUCAUCAAGAAAAGGAACCACUCAUAAACACCUGUCCCGUUUGUGGUGAAUCGCUUGAUGCUUCCAAUCGGGUGGGUAGCAUGGUUCAUAUGACCUUGUGUUUCAAUGAAGGAGCAAGAAACAAUGUCAUGAGCGGGAGCUUCUUAACAGAUAAGCAGGCUUCAUAUGGAUGGCUACUCAAGCUGAGUGAGUGGGCACACUACUCAUCUGAGGGCACUGGCUCGCAAUUGGCCACAAAGACGAGACAUAUUCUGGUUUUUGAUCGUAUGACAAAGAGGUUGGUGGAAGAAAUAAUUGAUGGAAAGAUUGUUUUGGCGAUGAGAGCCUUGUACCAAAAUAAGCCGGGAGUAUACUUUCUUGAAAAAGGAGGCAAGGAAAUUAUGCAGAAACUCUCUGAAAAACAAGGGGACAAAAUGAAUUCGGUUGAUUCGAUAAAAGAGAUCCCAAAAUUUAUUGAUCUUUUCAAGGAUCAGCUGAACUUAUCUGAAACAAAAUACCCUUUGGAUCAUUUUAAGACCUUUAAUGAAUUUUUCAUUCGAGAGUUGAAGCCUGGUGCAAGACCUAUUGCCUUCAUAGAUCGUGAUGAUAAUGCAGUCUGUGGUGCUGAUUCUCGUCUAAUGGCUUUUAAAAAUGUUGAGGAAAGCACUAGAAUCUGGAUCAAGGGUCGAAGGUUUUCUAUUAAAGGCCUAUUAGGAAAUGAUGUUUCUGCCACUCCUUUCAUUGGGGGAGCAUUGGUGAUAUUUCGGUUGGCUCCUCAGGAUUAUCAUCGUUUCCAUUUACCAGUUUCGGGGACCGUUGAGAGAUUUGUUCCUAUACCUGGGUCCUUAUACACUGUUAAUCCAAUUGCUGUAAAUAGCCUGUGUGAUGUCUUUACGGAGAACAAAAGAGUUGUGUCUAUAAUUUCAACUGCAGCUUUUGGAAAGGUAGCUUUUGUUGCUAUUGGAGCAACAAUGGUUGGCAGCAUUACUUUUACUAGGGAGGAAGGUGACUACGUUCAGAAGGGCGAGGAGUUUGGCUACUUCUCAUUUGGUGGAAGCACUGUAAUUUGUGUCUUUGAGAAGGACGUAAUCAAACUGGAUGACGAUCUCCUAGACAAUAGUAUGCGUUCACUUGAGACUUUGGUACGGGUAGGAAUGACACUAGGUGUAUCCACCAAAACUGACGGACGAUAAAGCUAUCGGCUACCAAUUCUUUACCUGCUUCAGGGUAUUCAGAGGAGCGUACAACUCCUAUGUCCUUGCACCAGAGGUAGUAAGAAUCGAGUUCAUCGAAUUGUUUUGAUAUCCGGCAGAAAAUUUCAUGGACUUUGAUACAGUCUGAGCCUGGAUAUUUUUCACCCGAGAGAAGUUAAUAAAUAUAUUGGACAAAGAGUAUUGUUCUCUUUGACAGUGUCAGAUAUAUUCCUAAGGAUUCGUUUUUAAAAGAUAUAUCCUUUGCCACAAAAUACUUGCAACAUUUUCUUUUUCAAGUCGUAAGACUUGCAAUUAAGCCAUGUAUGAUAUUGAUAACGAGAUUAUUGUAGAAUGUAUAAUACUUGUGCGUGGAAAAGUACCUAUGUAACAACUUAAUGUCUCUUACCUCACGCCUUCUCUUUCAUCAUUCUAAAUUGUAUGACAAUCUACUUGUAAAUCAGAGUUUUUUCUUGUCUGAGCUGAAUAUAGUAUAAGACACUUCGGAGUGACUUCAA
Molecule: RNA transcript, 2698 nt
Organism: Beta vulgaris subsp. vulgaris (sugar beet)
Lineage: Eukaryota; Viridiplantae; Streptophyta; Magnoliopsida; Caryophyllales; Amaranthaceae
Gene name: phosphatidylserine decarboxylase proenzyme 3
Exons: 23
Source: RefSeq, a predicted model, not a curated record